This is a long non-coding RNA of Manduca sexta (tobacco hornworm), 274 nucleotides long. RefSeq lists it as uncharacterized. The record is from RefSeq and is a predicted model, not a curated record. The transcript is spliced from 2 exons. NCBI's taxonomy places the organism in Eukaryota, Metazoa, Arthropoda, Insecta, Lepidoptera, Sphingidae.
AAGCGAAAAGGAUGCUGAUGAAGAUGCAGAGGACAAACCAGUAGAAGAACCCAAAAAAAAGAAAGAAACAAAAGGUCGAAAAACCAAGGCAAGAAAGCACAGGCCAAAGAGGAAGUUGAUGAUGAUGAAGAGGUAAAAGAAGAAGAACCAGCGUCUAAGAAAAGAAAAAAUAAAUAAGAAAGAAGAUAAAGUAAAAGAAUCAAAAGAAGAUGAUGCGAUGGAAGAUGAUGUUCCUGAAUACAAGCCUGUGAAAGGCAGGCGAGGUCAGAAGAAA